UACGUAGGGUGCAAGCGUUAAUCGGAAUUACUGGGCGUAAAGCGUGCGCAGGCGGUUUUGUAAGUCUGUCGUGAAAUCCCCGGGCUCAACCUGGGAAUUGCGAUGGAGACUGCACGGCUAGAGUGUGUCAGAGGGGGGUAGAAUUCCACGUGUAGCAGUGAAAUGCGUAGAGAUGUGGAGGAAUACCGAUGGCGAAGGCAGCCCCCUGGGAUAACACUGACGCUCAUGCACGAAAGCGUGGGGAGCAAACAGG
This 253-nucleotide ribosomal RNA is filed under the name uncultured bacterium. Its description in RNAcentral is "partial 16S ribosomal RNA". It matches the Rfam family "Bacterial small subunit ribosomal RNA", at positions 524 to 776 of the family's 1533-position model. The record is from RNAcentral.